AUGACGUCCGUCCCUACAAUUGAUCUCCCUACUAUAAUAGAGGCUACAGGAAAUUUCUCCGAUGCAAAUAAAGUUGUUGAAGAAGGAUUUAGUGUUGUCUACAAGGGGCAACUACCUGGUGGUACAGUGGUUGCUGUAAAGAGGCUCAAACAGGGGACACGGCGAUUCGGUGCUCGAGCUCAGAUGCUCCUGAAAUCGCUGGCGUCCGUUUCUGGCUCGGGAUCUGAACAAAUCGUUCUGACGCGUCUGAGCAGAAAUCUAUACUACUAUUAA
Molecule: ribosomal RNA, 273 nt
Filed under: Triticum aestivum (bread wheat)
Lineage: Eukaryota; Viridiplantae; Streptophyta; Magnoliopsida; Poales; Poaceae
Description: partial small subunit ribosomal RNA
Source: RNAcentral